AAACCGAGUUAUAGAGAAUUCAGAAGAAAGAAGAAAAUAAAAAAGAUAUGGCAGAAGCUGUUGUUUCCUGUGUGAUUGAAAGACUUGGAGACUUGCUAAUCGAUGAAGCCAAAUUCUUGUGGGGAGUCAAAGGCCAAAUCGAGAAUGCACAGAGCAAGCUGCAAUGUAUGAGCGCUUUCUUACAAGACGCAGAUGCUUUUGUAAGAAAUGGUGAUAGGAGAGUACGUCUUUUGGUUGUCAAAGUCAGAGAUACUUCUUAUGACUUGGAGGAUGUUAUUGAAACUUAUGUCUUCAAAGUGGCUCUGAAGAAGAACGAAGGUGUGGUGAGUAAACUGAAAAGAUAUGUUUGCAUCUCCAAGAAAGGAAUUGAUGUCCAUGGAGUUGGAUCAAAGAUAGAGGAGAUCUCAUCUAACAUUGAUACUUGGACUUCAGAAUUACAAAAGUAUGGAGUACAUGAGUCAAUGGUUAUGGCAGCUGGAACAUCUUCAAACCAAGUUCGUGAGCAAAGACGACGGGCUUAUUCUCAUGUUGUGGAGAAUGAUGUUGUUGGAUUUGAGAAAGACAUCAAAGAAUUGGUAGCCCAUUUGACUGGGAAAGAGAAUCCUCAAAAUCCUAGGGUGAUCUCUGUAUGUGGGAUGGGUGGCUUGGGGAAGACUACCCUAGCCAGAAAGGUUUAUCAUCAUCCUCAAGUCAGGAGUCACUUUGAUUGUUUUGCUUGGGCCUCGAUAUCUCAGCAGUGUAAUAGACGCAACGCCUGGGAAGAAAUCUUAUUUGGUUUCACUUCUCCCACCAAGGAAAGAAGAGAAGAAAUCAAAAUUCUCAGUGAUGGUGAAUUAGCGGAAGAGCUCUACAACUUUCAGAAAGAGAAGAAAUGUUUGGUGCUCCUCGACGAUAUAUGGUCCACUGACACAUGGGAUCUUCUAAAAGAUGCAUUCCCUCGAGGUGACAUUGAUAGCAAGAUUUUACUCACUACUCGAAUGAUGAAUAUAGGUCCUUAUGCGGAUCAACAUUGCUACAUCCAUCAACCUACGUGUCUCGAUGAGAAUCAAAGCUGGGAGUUGUUUCAGAACAAAUCUUCAUAUUUUGGAAAGGAUCAAACAACCAUAAAAGAUGCGGAAAGAAUGGAAGCACUCGGGCGAGAGAUGCUUAAAGAUUGCUCUGGUUUGCCAUUAGCUAUCAUUGUGCUCGGAGGGCUUCUUUCUACGAAACACUCAGUUGAUGAAUGGGAGGAGAUGAAAAGAAAUGUGGUGAGAUACAUAAGUAAAGGCAGAGAGCAUGGUGACUCGGAAUGCCAUGGUGUUUCAUGGGUGUUAGGUUUGAGUUAUGAUGAGUUGCCAUUUUACUUGAAGCCUUGUUUUCUAUACUUGGCUCGUUAUCCUGAAGACGCCAUCAUACAAGUAAAAGAAUUAUGUCUUAUGCUCAUAGCAGAAGGUUUUAUAUCGCCAAGAAGACAUUCAACAAAAACUAUCGAAACUAUCGAAGAUAUAGCAUAUGAUAACUUAAGUGAGUUGGUGGAGAGGAGCAUGGUUCAAGUAGAAAAUUGGGGUUUAACUGGAAGAAUGAAAACAUUUCGAAUUCACGAUCUUAUGCGAGACUUGUGUGUGUCUAAAGCUCAAGAUGAGAAUUUUCUACAUCUUAUUGAAUUGAGGAAUCAGGUGGAAGAGCCACUAAAACCUAUAUCUACCGUAGCAAGGAGAGUUUCCAUUUAUUCUCAUGGUUAUUCUGGUGAUGAUGUUUUUAGUUUUGUUGAUAGCAAAAAUGGAUCUCUUAGGUGCCUUACUGUAGAUUGGGGAGUAGGUUGGGGAGGUAUCACACAACAAGAUUUGAGACAUGUGUUUAAUAGGUUUUUCAUGCUUAGAGUUUUAAAUCUAAGUUUAGUGAGCAUUAAUAGUUUGAAGUUGCCUGAAGAAAUUGGAAAGCUUAUUCACCUAAGGUUGUUGAGUAUUAGUGCCAAGGUGGAAAAUAUCCCAUCUUCUAUUGGUAAUUUGAGAUGCCUGCAGACUUUAAAGUUAGUACUGUCGCGGGGUUGUGAAAGAGUACCAAAUGUAAUCUGGAAGUUAGAACAACUUAGACAUUUAAACUUCUUCGUUAUGGGCGUUAGACUGGCGAGGACAUUGAGGUUACCUAACAUUAGAAAUUUACAAACAUUGAAAGGUGUUUCAACUGAGUGCUUUGAUUGGAAUGAUUUUCUACAGUUGAGGAAUCUCAAGAAAUUAAAGAUUUUUCUAGGUGAAAAUUUGGAGAAUAUUUACCACGAUCCCCCAAUCGUCACAUUUGAUUGUCUUCGCCAUUUACAAGUACGUAGUCAAGUACGAAAUGCUAUAGAUAUUGUUCCUAUGAUAUUAAGCUACCCUCAAAUUUAUAAGCUUAAACUAGAUGGGAGAAUAGUAAAAUUACCAGAAUACAACCAAUUCUCCCCAAACCUUAUCAAGUUACAGUUGAUUCUCACUCAUCUUGAGUAUGAUCCAAUGCCAACCCUAGAAAAGCUACAGAGUUUAAGAGUCCUUUCCUUAUGUGGUAGCUUUAAGGGGAAUGAGAUGGUGUGCUCAAAAGGAGGUUUCCCUCAACUGGAAUCUCUUUUCAUGGAUCGUCUAUACUACUUAGAAGAGUGGAAGGUGGAGGAAGGGGCCUUGUCUAGUCUUUGCUUUUUGUGGAUUUGUGAUUGCAAAAAAUUGAGGAGAGUUCCUGAUGGAUUAAGAUACAUUACUACGCUUAAGGAAAUGAAGAUGGAAGGUAUGCCUUGGGAAUUCAAAGAAAGGUUGGAGGAAGGAGGAGAGGAUUUCUACAAAGUCCACCACAUCCCAUCCCGUAUAUUUCUCCAAUGUUACUAUUGAUAUGAGCUGGAGCGAGAAGACGAUGAGUUGUUUGUUUGGAAUAGUUUCGGAGAGCCAUCAUUAACAGGGGAAUGGGGAAUGGGUAUGGGUGCUGCUCUUUCCUCUGAUUUCACUCCACUGGUGCACAACUGCUAUGGCAUUGCCUCCUCUAUUCAACUGCUAUACAUUGUCGGAAAUCGUUGACUCAUUAGGACUGAAAGACCCCUGUAAAAAAAAACUGGGUGGACUUGCUGGAUUUCUUCCUUGUUGGAGAUUUACAUGUCUGCGGAAUGGUACGAGCCAGGUUGCUGUCUGGAGUGACCUCUUCAUGGAAGUGUGGCUAUUGUCGAAGCUCUUGUACGACGAUUGCAUAAGUUUGGUGGACAACUUUCUCUAGGCAUAAACAAGGACUUUCAAAUUGACCAUAUAGUCGGAAAUGACUGGGAAAAAGGAGUUGAUGCUGAUCAAAAUGUUGUUCUAAUAUCUGUACCAAGUGUACAUAGUCCUGGUCUUGUGCCACCUCAGAAACAUGUAUUACAUGCUUAUCUGCCAGGGACUGAACCUUAUGAACUAUGGAAAGGACUUGAUCAUCUAAUAUCUGAAAGAUCAGAGGUUAUGUUGAGAGCAGUGGAAGGUGCAAUUGGUCCCGGGUUCAGCAGGGACAAGUGUGAAGUGAAGUUUGUUGGAUCCCCAUUGACACACGAACAAUUUCUUAGGAGUAACAGAGGAAGAUAUGGGCUAGCCAUAGAAGCUGAAACUGGCAGCUUUCCCUGACAUAGGAGUCCCUGCAGUGGCUGCCAGAGGAGCCACAACACUCGCAACUCCUUUUAUAUGCUUUCUUCAUUACCUAAGUUGGCCUCUCACUUCUUUUAUUUUCCCAACCAAACAAUGAUUAGUUUGAGAAUUGUUAUGAUUCUCUAUAUAGCUUGUAAUAAUUAGUCUUGAUUGUUCAUACUAAACCUGAGAAGUACUUUUUUUUUAAUCUUCA
RNA transcript from Humulus lupulus (European hop), 3801 nucleotides. It is a transcript of the gene named putative disease resistance protein At1g50180, with no coding region annotated. The record is from RefSeq and is a predicted model, not a curated record. The transcript is spliced from 7 exons. Lineage: Eukaryota; Viridiplantae; Streptophyta; Magnoliopsida; Rosales; Cannabaceae.